CUACGGGGUGCUGCAGUGGGGAAUAUUGGACAAUGGGGGCAACCCUGAUCCAGCCAUGCCGCGUGUGUGAAGAAGGCCUUCGGGUUGUAAAGCACUUUAAGUGGGGAGAAAGGUUCGGUAGCUAAUAUCUGCCGGAAUUGAUGCUACCCACAGAAUAAGCACCGGCUAACUCUGUGCCAGCAGCCGCGGUAAUACAGAGGGUGCAAGCGUUAAUCGGAAUUACUGGGCGUAAAGCGCGCGUAGGCGGCUGCCUAAGUCGGGUGUGAAAGCCCCGGGCUCAACCUGGGAACUGCACUCGAUACUGGGCGGCUAGAGUAUGAGAGAGGGAGGUAGAAUUCCACGUGUAGCGGUGAAAUGCGUAGAUAUGUGGAGGAAUACCGGUGGCGAAGGCGGCCUCCUGGUUCAAUACUGACGCUGAGGUGCGAAAGCGUGGGGAGCAAACAGGAUUAGUACCCUGGUAGUC
RNAcentral lists this ribosomal RNA (463 nucleotides) under uncultured bacterium. RNAcentral's name for it is "partial 16S ribosomal RNA". It matches the Rfam family "Bacterial small subunit ribosomal RNA", at positions 339 to 795 of the family's 1533-position model. The record is from RNAcentral.